GGCAUACGGCUCAGUAACGCGUAGUCAACCUAACCUAUGGACGGGAAUAACCUCGGGAAACUGAGAAUAAUGCCCGAUAGAUCAUUAUGCCUGGAAUGGUUUAUGUUCCAAAUGAUUUAUCGCCGUAGGAUGGGACUGCGGCCUAUCAGUUUGUUGGUGAGGUAAUGGCCCACCAAGACUAUUACAGGUACGGGCUCUGAGAGGAGUAGCCCGGAGAUGGGUACUGAGACACGGACCCAGGCCCUAUGGGGCGCAGCAAGCGAGAAAACUUUGCAAUGUGCGAAAGCACGACAAGGUUAAUCCGAGUGAUUUCUGCUAAAGAAAUCUUUUGUUAGUCCUAAAAACACUAACGAAUAAGGGGUGGGCAAGUUCUGGUGUCAGCCGCCGCGGUAAAACCAGCACCUCAAGUGGUCAGGAUGAUUAUUGGGCCUAAAGCAUCCGUAGCCGGCUUUGUAAGUUUUCGGUUAAAUCCAUGUGCUUAACGCAUGGGCUGCCGAAAAUACUGCAUGGCUAGGGAGUGGGAGAGGUAGACGGUACUCAGUAGGAAGGGGUAAAAUCCUUUGAUCUAUUGAUGACCACCUG
This 582-nucleotide ribosomal RNA is filed under the name uncultured archaeon. Its description in RNAcentral is "bacterial SSU rRNA". It matches the Rfam family "Archaeal small subunit ribosomal RNA", at positions 80 to 663 of the family's 1478-position model. The record is from RNAcentral.